AACUUUCAACAACGGAUCUCUUGGUUCUCGCAUCGAUGAAGAGCGCAGGGAAAUGCGAUACCUAGUGUGAAUUGCAGCCAUCGUGAAUCAUCGAGUUCUUGAACGCACAUUGCGCCCGUCGGUAUUCCGGCGGGCAUGCCUGUCUGAGCGUCGUUU
RNAcentral lists this ribosomal RNA (156 nucleotides) under Pichia membranifaciens. RNAcentral describes it as "5.8S ribosomal RNA". It matches the Rfam family "5.8S ribosomal RNA". From Rfam's summary of the family: 5.8S ribosomal RNA (5.8S rRNA) is a component of the large subunit of the eukaryotic ribosome. Lineage: Eukaryota; Fungi; Ascomycota; Pichiomycetes; Pichiales; Pichiaceae. The record is from RNAcentral.